AUCCGCCGACGUUCCUCCGAUGACUCGGCGGGGAGCUUUCCCCGGGAAACCAAAGCUUUUGGGUUCCGGGGGAAGUAUGGUUGCAAAGCUGAAACUUAAAGGAAUUGACGGAAGGGCACCACCAGGGGUGGAGCCUGCGGCUUAAUUUGACUCAACACGGGGAACCUCACCAGGCCCGGACAUUGGAAGGAUUGACAGAUCGAUAGCUCUUUCUCGAUUCAGUGGGUAGUGGUGCAUGGCCGUUCUUAGUUGGUGGAUUGAUUUGUCUGGUUAAUUUCGAUAACGAUCGAGACUCUGACCUAUUAACUAGACGUCCGGUAUACACAGCUACCGGCGAUAUUUAUUCUUCUUAAGGGGACAGGCGGCUCCCAGCCGCACGAAAUUGAGCAAUAACAGGUCUGGAAUGCCCUUAGAUGUUCUGGGCCGCACGCGCGCUACACUGAAGGAAUCAGCGUGUGCAUCCCUGUCCGAAAGGUCCGGGUAACCCGCUGAACCUCCUUCGUGCUAGGAAUUGGGGCUUGCAAUUGUUCCCCAUGAACGAGGAAUCCCCAGUAAGCGCAGGUCAUAAGCCGGCGUUGAUUACGUCCCUGCCCUUUGUACACACCGCCCGUCGCUACUACCGAUUGAAUGAUGUAGUGAGGUCUCCGGACCGGCGAGAGCCCGGCGCCGACUUGUUCGGUAUCGAUCUCGCUGGAAAGAUGACCGAACUUGAUCAUUUAGAGGAAGUAAAAGUCG
This 735-nucleotide ribosomal RNA is filed under the name Oxycarenus brunneus. RNAcentral describes it as "SSU rRNA". It matches the Rfam family "Eukaryotic small subunit ribosomal RNA", at positions 1052 to 1791 of the family's 1831-position model. Lineage: Eukaryota; Metazoa; Arthropoda; Insecta; Hemiptera; Oxycarenidae. The record is from RNAcentral.